This 550-nucleotide long non-coding RNA is filed under the name Phoenix dactylifera (date palm). Its description in RNAcentral is "long non-coding RNA (PDAC_LNC021931)". Lineage: Eukaryota; Viridiplantae; Streptophyta; Magnoliopsida; Arecales; Arecaceae. The record is from RNAcentral.
UGUGUUCGAUUUAGUUACUGCAUGAAGCUUUAGCCAAGUGCCUUGAUUUAACCCUAUUAUUCCACUUUGUAUCUUAAGGAACACGUUUAAGGACAAGAAGAUGGAGAGAUGACCAAAAAGAAAAUACUAGUAAAGCUAACGGAGUUUUGAAGCUUUUCUAGUUAUAUUGCUCAAUCCAAAUCCAUUUACAAGGAAUGCAGCAUAGAUGCUUUCAAAAUCCUAUUUUAGUUUUUUUUCCCGUACUCCUAAAAAUUUUCUUUAGGUUUGUUAUGCAUGCUCAGUGGCAGGAAUGUCAUCACAGGACUAUUUUCUAUUUUUUAGGAUUCAAGUAAAACAAGAAAAGAGUGGUUCUGUAAUGGAAUGAUAAUUGCCUUUUGCUAAGUGUGAAAAAUAUGGCGACAUUCUUCAGGAGUUGAGAUCCAUGAAUAAUCGAAAGAGGAAUUAAAUUAUCUAUGACGCUGGGAUUGCUGAUUUGAAAAUUAAUUAGAAAAUUUCGAAAGAACUGACAAAUUUAGGUUUUCUUGCAUUCGUUGAGCAAUGCUAUUAUCAA